RNAcentral lists this ribosomal RNA (497 nucleotides) under uncultured bacterium. Its description in RNAcentral is "partial 16S ribosomal RNA". It matches the Rfam family "Bacterial small subunit ribosomal RNA", at positions 28 to 507 of the family's 1533-position model. The record is from RNAcentral.
GAUGAACGCUGGCGGCGUGCCUAAUACAUGCAAGUCGAGCGAACAGACGAGGAGCUUGCUCCUCAGACGUUAGCGGCGGACGGGUGAGUAACACGUGGAUAACCUACCUAUAAGACUGGGAUAACUUCGGGAAACCGGAGCUAAUACCGGAUAAUAUAUUGAACCGCAUGGUUCAAUAGUGAAAGACGGUUUUGCUGUCACUUAUAGAUGGAUCCGCGCCGCAUUAGCUAGUUGGUAAGGUAACGGCUUACCAAGGCAACGAUGCGUAGCCGACCUGAGAGGGUGAUCGGCCACACUGGAACUGAGACACGGUCCAGACUCCUACGGGAGGCAGCAGUAGGGAAUCUUCCGCAAUGGGCGAAAGCUUGACGGAGCAACGCCGCGUGAGUGAUGAAGGUCUUCGGAUCGUAAAACUCUGUUAUUAGGGAAGAACAAAUGUGUAAGUAACUAUGCACGUCUUGACGGUACCUAAUCAGAAAGCCACGGCUAACUACGUG